RNAcentral lists this ribosomal RNA (253 nucleotides) under uncultured bacterium. RNAcentral describes it as "partial 16S ribosomal RNA". It matches the Rfam family "Bacterial small subunit ribosomal RNA", at positions 524 to 776 of the family's 1533-position model. The record is from RNAcentral.
UACGAAGGGGGCAAGCGUUGUUCGGAAUUACUGGGCGUAAAGCGUGCGCAGGCGGUCUAUUAAGACAGGUGUGAAAUCCCCGGGCUUAACCUGGGAACUGCGCUUGUAACUGAUAGGCUGGAGUGUGGCAGAGGGGGGUGGAAUUCCACGUGUAGCAGUGAAAUGCGUAGAGAUGUGGAGGAACACCGAUGGCGAAGGCAGCCCCCUGGGCUAACACUGACGCUCAUGCACGAAAGCGUGGGGAGCAAAUAGG